AAAGAACUGCCAACAGAGUCUCAAAACAUUGCCUUUUGUCACAAUGACAUGCAGUAUGGUAACAUAAUGAUUGACGACAAAACAAAGGCUGUUACUAUCAUUGACUAUGAGUAUGGCGGUUAUAAUCCAAUUGCUUAUGACUUUGCGAACCACUUCUGUGAAAUGACUGCAAAUUAUCAUACUGAUACCCCUCAUAUCAUGCACUUCAACACUUACCCUGAUUUUGAGGAGCGACAGCGAUUUGUACGUGCAUAUCUCAGUUCAUCAGGCAAUCAACCAAGUGAUGAGGAAGUAAAGAAACUUGUUGACGAAUCAGAGAAAUAUACGCUUGCAAAUCACUUGUUCUGGGGAUUGUGGGGAGUCAUCUCGGCAUAUGUUAACAAUAUCGAGUUUGACUACAUGGAGUACGCGAGGGGAAGGUUCAAG
This 426-nucleotide unclassified non-coding RNA is filed under the name Hevea brasiliensis (rubber tree). Lineage: Eukaryota; Viridiplantae; Streptophyta; Magnoliopsida; Malpighiales; Euphorbiaceae. The record is from RNAcentral.